GAUGAACGCUAGCGAUAGGCUUAACACAUGCAAGUCGAGCGACCGGCGCACGGGUGCGUAACGCGUAUGCAACUUGCCUCACAGAGGGGGAUAACCCGUCGAAAGACGGACUAAUACCGCGUACUGUGAGCUAGGCAUGCGUCCCAUUAGCUAGUUGGUGAGGUAACGGCUCGCCAAGGCAACGAUGGGUAGGGGAACUGAGAGGUAGACCCCCCGCACUGGUACUGCGACCCAGACCAGGCUGGUACGGAGGGGAGCAGUGUGGAACAUUAGUGGAUGAGCGAGGGCCUAGACCAGCCGAGUGGCGGAAAGAGUGACUGGCUAUGAAUUGUAAGCUUCUGUUGUAGGAGAAUAUGUACCCUACGAAUAAGCAUCGGCUAACUCCGUGCCAGCAGCCGCGGUAAUAC
RNAcentral lists this ribosomal RNA (407 nucleotides) under uncultured bacterium. RNAcentral's name for it is "partial 16S ribosomal RNA". It matches the Rfam family "Bacterial small subunit ribosomal RNA", at positions 28 to 526 of the family's 1533-position model. The record is from RNAcentral.